This is a non-coding RNA of Camellia sinensis, 4311 nucleotides long. The record is from RefSeq and is a predicted model, not a curated record. Lineage: Eukaryota; Viridiplantae; Streptophyta; Magnoliopsida; Ericales; Theaceae.
AUAUCACUGGAGUGUUAGUCCAGGAGCUCCAAGACUGAGCCAUGAUCAUGGACUCAACGGCCAUCUUAAUCUAGUCCACUUCUUCACACGGCGAAACCAACGUGACCUAGAGGUUAGGGUGGUUUGAAAGUUGGGAAGGUGAGGGUAUUUUGGGUUUUUUUUCUUAUGAAAAGGUGUCGGUGUGAAUUGAGAAAAUAUGAAACGAUUAAACAAAGUUUGUGUGGUGUGAAAAUAGAAACUUCCCAGCAACACUCACCUGCAAUUCAACGGCACCAACUACUACUAGUGCAAAACAAAUAUGCAGAUAAUAGUUUGAGUCUUGAGUUAUUUCUCAGCUAAACCCAACCCACCUUAGGUUCCGUUAAUCUUUCUUCUUCUUCAACUUGUUGUUGAUCAUCAAGAAAUUAGAACAUGGUAGAAACAAUUCUUUUCAACUUAGCAAGUAAAAUUCUGGGCAUGAUAGGCUCCGGUCCAAUCGGGGAAGUUGGCAAGGCAUGGGGUGUUGAGCAGGAGCUGAACGCACUAAAAGACACCUUGUCCACUAUCAAUGCUGUGCUCUUAGAUGCUGAGAGAUUGUACGGUCAUGGCGGUUUUCCUAAUUACUCAAUUGCGAUGGGGGUAUGGUUUGACAGACUCCAAGCUGCUAUCUAUGAUGCAGAUAACCUCGUCGAUGAAUUUCACUACGAAGUUUUACGAAGUCGAGUGACGAGGACGUUUCUGGUAAGCAAUUUCUUUUCAUCCUCAUGCACAAUUGAUUUCCGAUUUAAAUUUAAAAUGAGUAGUAGAAUCGCAAAUAUCAGAAAGAGAUUAGACAUGAUCGCGGAUAAUAGGACUAAGUUUCAUCCCAUUGCCACAACAUCACAACAUAACGCGGCCAGCUCAUCAAUCUCCUCUGAAGUCAAUGAGUCGGAAUUUGUUGGAAGGUUCGAUGAUAGAGUAAAAUUGUUACACCUUAUAAUGGCCCCACGUGUUAACAAUGAUGAGAACAUGUUUGUCCUGCCCAUUGUUGGCAUUGCAGGUAUUGGUAAGACAGCUCUCGUUAGAUUGCUGUACAAUCAUGAAAUGGUCGCCAAGCAUUUUCAGUUGAGGAUUUGGGUGAAGGUAGAACAAUAUCUUAAUGUUAAAGAUGUGAUGCAAAAAAUUUUUCAGCGCAUAACAGAUUCCCCCCAUUGUGCUGGCCUCCAUUCAUAUCAGUUAAAGAAUCUCCUUCAAGAAAAAUUACAUAAUACGAAAUUUUUACUCGUCUUGGACAAUUUAUGUGAUUGUGAUAAUCGAGAAUGGCAUAAGUUGUAUGACUUAUUGAGAUGUGGUUGUAUCAUGGGAAGUAAGAUCAUAGUGACUACACGUUACAUACGGGUUGCUACAAUUGUGGGCACGGUUCCCACACAUAAUUUAGACAGUCUUUCAGAUAAGGAUUGCCUUGAAGUGCUUUGGAAGUGGGCAGGUUGUCGUGAAAAAUUGGGGGAAAAACAUGUGAAUGCGAAGCUCUCAAAAAUCGCAAAGGAAAUUGUGAAAAAGUGCCACGGAUAUCCUCGUGCAGCAAAGACUUUAGGCAACAAUUUGUUUAUGGAGACUGAUGAAAGUAAAUGGUUAGAAUUAAAAGAGAAACAACUAUGGGAAUUGCCACAAAAGAAACGUGACAUUUUGGCCGUGUUAAGAUCGAGCUACGACACACAAUCAACUGAGUUGAAACGCUGCUUCAUAUAUUGUUCAAUUUUUCCAAAAAGCUAUGAAAUUGAAAUUGAUAAAUUGAUCCAGUUGUGGAUGGCACAGGGGCUCAUUCAAUCAUCUGGCCUAACUGGCGAGUUGGAAGAUACUGGCACUGAUUAUUUGAAUCAGUUAUGUUCCAUAUUUUUCUUAGAAAAGACUGAAGAACAACAUGGCAAUCUAUCAAACACGUGUAGAAUGCCUGAGAUCAUUCAUGAUCUUGCAGUAUAUAUGGCAAAUGAAGAAUGCUUAAUUACAACAAAUUAUCGUUUUGGGCCGAUUUCUGAUAAGGUUAAGCAUGUAUCAUUUCAUGAUUUUGAUUGUUCAGGGGAAGAAGUCACAAAGGCAUUGUUCGAACGAAAGAAUCUGAGGACUGUUUUCUUUCCAUUUCAAGGACUCGGAGCUAGUGACACAGGCUUUGUUAACAGAUGCAUCUCAAAGUUCAAGUAUCUGUAUGUGCUUGAUUUGAGUUGCUCAUGUUUUCAGGUAUUGCCACAUUCCAUUGGUAAUUUGAAGCAUUUGAGAUUUUUUGACAUCAGUGGGAAUGCAAAUAUCGAGACACUGCCUAAUGCCAUUUGCAAACUGUUCAAUUUGCAAACUUUGAGAAUCUGGUAUUGUGUGAAAAUUCGAAAGUUACCCAAAAACAUAGGGAACUUAAUCUGUCUUAGGCAUUUGUACUUAACCACACAACAAAGUUGUUUGCCAGAGAGACAAAUCCAACGCUUGACCUCUCUCCAAUCCUUUCGGAUUACAGGAUGUGGAAACCUUAAAUCUUUGCCUAAAGGAAUGCGACUCCUCGUCAAACUCAAAACAGUGACUAUUGCAGCUUGUCCCAAAUUGACCUCUCUGCCAAGUACCAUGAAGAACCUACCCAAGUUGAGGAAUCUUGAGAUUAGUAAUUGUCCAAAUCUUGACUUGGCAGGGUGGGAGGACGUUAUGGGCCUUAGGAGGCUUCAAUAAAUUCAAGGGUACAAGAUUUUAUGAGUUUGUGGCUCUCCCAAGUGAGUCAAUUUCGUUGCACUCGAAAGUAUUGCUUGUAUUUUUAUUCUUUCUAGCAUUAACUGCUGCUUCUGAUGGGCUUCUUAACAUUGUCUUAGUGCAUGUAAUGGAAAUUUCAUAUCAGUAAGAGAACCACGAAGCGUGAAGUGACAGGUGUUCGAUGGAAAACCAACAGAUGAAUGGCUUGUCUCUAAAAGGGAGGAGGAAGGAGCUGUUAUCUGCGUCAGAAGCCCUUGAACCUAGCUGCAUUUAGGAUUCUGCUAUUAAUGUUGUUUUGUUGGAGUGCAGCCACUUCCGAAUCCAGAUUCAAUGAUUGUGGAGUGCACGAAGCCAAGUCCAUUAUUGUUUAAUGAAAAAAAAGAUGGGAUGGGAACUUAUUAGAGUGUGGCCAAGCCCUCUCGAAUGACUUCUACUAUAGAAGCUUUCAACGUACACCUGGGGACAAAUCUUUCACUCACUGAGAAGUGAAACCCUGUGACUAGAUCGUUCUGAAGACAGAUGUGACGGGAAGAAGUGGCAUUUGGAAGCCGAAAAACCACAAUGAACAGGUCUUCUAUGUGCACAGAAUCUUAUCACAGAAUCAGAUACUACUCUCUUAUAUGGAGUAGGAUCCACACAUAAGGGUCAAAAUCACACAUUGUUCCUCUAUUCUUUAGAUAGUCUCCCAAUCUUGAAAUCCACAUAAUUUCCAACCUCAAAAGGCUACAUAAAAAUCCAGCAAGCACUGUAUAUCAGAUUCCGGAGCUCCAUUACAUUGUUACAUACCUCGCAAAAAAGUAACGGAGAUAAAACCUUUGACAAGAUAAAAAAGCUUCUAAACCCAACUUGGAGAUUGUUUAAUAUUUUAUUUUUAAUUGAUAUAAUUUCAGAUAUAUGAAAUUCAUUAGUUUAAGAGAUUCUGAGGGCAUAAUGAAAUAUUGCGAUAGGGCAAAUUUUACUUUACACCAAAUCUUACUUUAGCCAAAACUACAACUAAAUUCGACAUGGAUAUUGUUUGGCACGGAUGCCUUGAACUAAACUAGGCUAAAUUUUGACACGGAUGUCUUGCUAAAUAUUUGAUUUGAGUUGGAUUAGAUGUCCUUUCUUCCAUUUUCGAAUGGCUUUAUAUUGCAAUGGGAAUCUCCUAAUUGUUAGGAACAGCCGGCUGAUUCUCCUCAACCACUUUGAUUAGUGGAAUGCUAGGUUAGCUCUUAAACUGCCAAGUGUCCCGUGAUAGCCACCUUGCCGAAGCAUCUCUAGUGUAUCCCCCAAGAAAUGGAAGUCAUUAUUCUACAUUAACCCUUGGCCGUUUGAUCAAAAGGUAGUAAGACUUCAAAUCUGAGGGAUGAAUGCUAUGUGUCGAAUCUGGGAGUAGCUCUCCUCAAGACUCCAUUUUGUAGGAACAAUCAGCCAGUGACCUUCAUAGACUAACCUCUCUUCUUGAAAAGCAAUCACAAGACAAGGUUCAACGGUGUGGCUCACCAGGCUGACCAACUGGCGGCAAUGUUAAGAAUUGAGACAAGCUCGUCGCCACGUAUCCUCAGUGGAAGAAAAGGAUAAAAAAGGAAUCUCCUUGGAUCAUUACCUCGUUUUGGGAAUUAAACCAUCUGAUGCAGGAUCCAAGAU